GUGGUGGUUGACGGCGAGUCUGCGACGGAGCGACGUGGUUCAUGGUCGACGGUUUAUCUUGCUUCGAUUUUGAAUGAUAGCGGUUGUUGUGCGUCGGAACUGUUGAUGCGAUGUUUCGGAUUUCGUGGUACGCAUAGUCGGAUUUGUGAGAGGUAGUCAGUUUCUGGAUUUCACGGCGGCGGUGGUUUCCGCGAUUUGAUUUUCCGGUGGCUUCCAAAUUGUUCUUCCCUGCUAUUUUAUUGGUUUCAGACUGUACGUGUGAUGGAUUGGACUCUAGUCUCCUCCCUGAGGGUUAGGAUUAGUUGGUCUUUUAUAUGAAAUUCUGAUUUAAUUGGAUUUAACAUGUUAUAAUUUUUUUCCAAAUUAAUUUAGGAAAUGCUUUAAAAAUAUCUGAUUUGGAAAGAUUUAUUUUUGAAUGGAAUUGACGAUGAUGAACAAUGUUUCCU
RNAcentral lists this long non-coding RNA (446 nucleotides) under Lathyrus oleraceus (garden pea). RNAcentral describes it as "Pisum sativum (pea) long non-coding RNA (PSAT_LNC011114)". Lineage: Eukaryota; Viridiplantae; Streptophyta; Magnoliopsida; Fabales; Fabaceae. The record is from RNAcentral.